Molecule: ribosomal RNA, 468 nt
Filed under: uncultured bacterium
Lineage: Bacteria
Description: partial 16S ribosomal RNA
Rfam family: Bacterial small subunit ribosomal RNA
Source: RNAcentral
GACGAACGCUGGCGGCGUGCUUAACACAUGCAAGUCGAACGGAAAGGCCCUGCUUUUGUGGGGUGCUCGAGUGGCGAACGGGUGAGUAACACGUGAGUAACCUGCCCUUGACUUUGGGAUAACUUCAGGAAACUGGGGCUAAUACCGGAUAGGAGCUCCUGCUGCAUGGUGGGGGUUGGAAAGUUUCGGCGGUUGGGGAUGGACUCGCGGCUUAUCAGCUUGUUGGUGGGGUAGUGGCUUACCAAGGCUUUGACGGGUGGCCGGCCUGAGAGGGUGACCGGCCACAUUGGGACUGAGGUACGGCCCAGACUCCUACGGGAGGCAGCAGUGGGGAAUAUUGCACAAUGGGCGGAAGCCUGAUGCAGCAACGCCGCGUGCGGGAUGACGGCCUUCGGGUUGUAAACCGCUUUCGCCUGUGACGAAGCGUGAGUGACGGUAAUGGGUAAAGAAGCACCGGCUAACUACGUG